Non-coding RNA from Pelobates cultripes (western spadefoot toad), 334 nucleotides. Lineage: Eukaryota; Metazoa; Chordata; Amphibia; Anura; Pelobatidae. The record is from the annotation of a GenBank genome assembly.
CUUCGAAAAAAUGCCGUCAGUUCGCCACCCUGUCCGACGUGUAUGACACCCACGGUUCCGAGGAUGGAACAACCCAUUAUGGUCUUCACGUCGGGACGCAAGGAUGCCAAUAAACGUAGGGCGUCCUGACAUGACGUCAGCCGGUCACCAUCGGAUAAAGUGGAUUUUGUAGUUUGUGUGAGGUCUGCAUCCACUGGGUCCUCCAAAUUAAGCAUCUAGUCUGAGCCAGCUUAUUUUAAGUGGCCCAGAAUCAUGUGAGUUGGACCAAAAAGCACUUAUACACUUUAAUAUGUUUACUGUACAAUGCUAUGGUCUUUUUUUCUGUUAUUUAUAG